RNAcentral lists this long non-coding RNA (800 nucleotides) under Androctonus crassicauda. Lineage: Eukaryota; Metazoa; Arthropoda; Arachnida; Scorpiones; Buthidae. The record is from RNAcentral.
UAUAUAUAUUUUAUUAAAAUAAACUAUAUAUAACUCGAGUUCGGUUUUUAUUUUUAUACGAUUCUACAGAACAGACUGUAUUAAAUAAAGAUUUUACUAUAAAAAUUUUCAGUUAAACAAAAUGGCAACAUUGGGAUUAAUAAAAAUAAAGCGAGUCAUGCCUUUUUUAUUUAUUUAAGUAGGAGCAGCACAUCUGUUUACUUUAUCAAACCCCUUUCAGGAUUUAAGAGGAAGGAAGGAUUGACUAGGAGAAAUGAUUUUGACACCCAGGAUGACAAUAAAAGAACAAUAAUUGCCACUUAUGCCUUUUUCUCCUCUAACAAUAAAAAUCAUGCGUCGACAAAAUGCUAUAAAAACAGCAAGAGUUGUCCUUCUUAAUAAUUCGAAAGUAUAUUGCUCGUUCAAUUCUAUCAUGCCGUAUAAUUGUAUAUUACUGUUGAGGAUCGAAAUAAAACGCAUUAAAAUGCAUAUUUAUCACGCGGAACUGCUAGGAAGAAAAAUAAAUAAAUAAUAAUAAUGCGAUAAAACUUUACCAUAACUAAAUUAUUUUUGCAUGUAAAGAAGUCUUUCGAAUAAAAGUAUAAAUAUAAUUGUGCAAAUUUAUCCAUCGUUUCCUGACUAAAAUAAGAUUUUUACUGAACGAUGAGAUGUUUUAAAAUUUAAGCUAAAGACAUUUAUGAUGCAAAUUUAACACUUACAAACUUUUAAGAAACGUAAUUUGCAAAAAGGAGCUUCAACGACUUUUUUUUUAAAGAAUUCUUUUUCUUUAUGUAAAGCAAUAGAAUCUUCAAUGUCAUUAA